RNAcentral lists this unclassified non-coding RNA (1688 nucleotides) under Daphnia pulex (common water flea). RNAcentral describes it as "uncharacterized protein F21D5.5-like, transcript variant X1". Lineage: Eukaryota; Metazoa; Arthropoda; Branchiopoda; Diplostraca; Daphniidae. The record is from RNAcentral.
UCAAUUUCUUCAAUGGUUAGCACAUUUUCGUCUUUUCUUCCAAUUUUAAAACGUCAACUAAUUUCCAUUUUGUUCAUUCAUUAUCGGUUUUCAUUAAAAGAUUUCCUACAAGUGCUAAUGUUUUCUUGUAAAAUAGUGUCAUGCGAUCCGGAUUACGUAUCCAUCCAGAUUGAGCACUGUAAGCCUUUGGUGAUUGGAAGAGGGCCCUUGACAAGGAUUAAAGAUCCGAGACUUUCUCGAAAUCACGUCAAGCUGGUAGCAGACUGUGAAAAGGGGUUGCUGAGUGUUAAGCUGAUUGGAGCCAAUGCUUGCAAAGCUGGAACCUCAAUACUAAAAGCUAAAGAUGAAUCUGUUCAGCUUAAACAUGGAGAAAUUAUAGAGUUACUUGAAAAGCAAUUUCCAUUUCGUGUGGAAUUUAGUCCAGAUCCAAAUCAAGUCCCGUCAUCAGUAACAAGCUCAUCAAGUUCUGAAGAAAUAAUGGUGGGGAAGCAGACAACUCUUAAUAAUUUUAUAACAACAAAGAGGAAAUCAACAUCUGCUGAAGAAGAUGUCCAAGACCCCAGUUUCUUGGCAAAAAAGCAGAAAAUGGAAGAUACAUGGGAGGAGAUUGACAAUGGCAAACUGAUUAUAUUCACAAGUGAUGGAGUGCAGCACAAAUCAAAAAUUGCAGCCUUUGAUUUGGAUGGAACCAUCAUCACAACUCAAUCUGGGAAAGUAUUUCCAACAAAUUGCCAAGACUGGAAGCUAAAUUUCAGUCAGGUUCCUGGCAAACUUAAAAAAUUAAUAGAAGAUGGAUUUAAAAUUGUUUUCAUCACUAACCAAGCCGGAUUAAGUAACGGAAAGCUCAAACCGUUAGAUUUUCGAAAGAAACUCUGUGAUAUCCGUUCAAAGUUGGGAGUUCCAAUCCAAGUUUUUAUCUCAUCCGGUUCGGGAAAAUACAGGAAACCCUCUACCGGAAUGUGGAUAUACCUUACAGAUAAAGCAAACGGUUCCGUCCCAAUUGAGCUGGAAUCGUCUUUUUAUUGCGGUGAUGCAGCUGGGCGCGAGGCCAAAUGGGCGCCAGGGAAGAAAAAGGAUCAUUCGUCUGUCGACCGUCUUUUAGCCAUCAACGUCGGUUUGAAAUUUUACACGCCCGAAGAAUUUUUCUUGGGACACCGAUCGGUUCCGCAUAAACAACCAGAUUUUGAACCCCGUAAUGUGGACGCAUCAGUUCCUCUUUUGGAACCUUCGGACGCCCCCCUGUUCCAGAAAAAGCAAGAAGUCAUUCUACUGGUUGGGUUUCCGGGAUCUGGCAAAAGUCAUUUCGCAGAACAACACGCGCUUCAGUCAAGUUAUGAUGUUAUCAACCGUGACUCCUUAGGCACUUGGCAGAAAUGUGCAGCAGCCGUAGAAAAAUGUCUCGACGCCGAGGGCUACCUUGCCGCUGUUUUGUGAUGAACACCACCAUGACGCAUGCCUUACAUAACAACAAGUUUCGAGAACUAACUGAUGCGAAGCACGUCCCUGUUUCUCGAAUGAUCUUCAACGUACACAAAUCAAAGUACCAGGAACCAAGUUUAGACGAAGGAUUCAGUCAAAUUGUCCGUGUCAACUUCCAACCCAAGUUCCGUUCUGCCGAAGAUGAGCGUCUUUACAAAAUGUAUCUUCUUGAAGAUUAAGGAUGUUUCUAGUAAAUGGAUUUUCAUUAA